CAUUUACUGUUAAUUACCCCUAUUAAAUAUUAGGGCACCUUCGAUUAAGUGACCUCUGAAAUGCUGAAUGAGAAAUAAACUGGAAUUGAACAAAAAAGAAUUUUAUAAUAUAGUUUAUCAUUCAAUUACAUGGCUUUAACCAAGGGCAUACCCCCAAUAUACAUAAAUAGAGGAUAAAAAGAGAGAGUGCUUAAUUUAACGAUAUGACGGUCAGUUGAACUUAAUUUUAAUUGAACCUUAGUUAUAUAUU
Molecule: long non-coding RNA, 250 nt
Filed under: Ananas comosus (pineapple)
Lineage: Eukaryota; Viridiplantae; Streptophyta; Magnoliopsida; Poales; Bromeliaceae
Description: long non-coding RNA (ACOM_LNC022519)
Source: RNAcentral